UGGGGAAUCUUGCGCAAUGGGCGAAAGCCUGACGCAGCCAUGCCGCGUGAAUGAUGAAGGUCUUAGGAUUGUAAAAUUCUUUCACCGGGGACGAUAAUGACGGUACCCGGAGAAGAAGCCCCAGCUAACUUCGUGCCAGCAGCCGCGGUAAUACGAAGGGGGCUAGCGUUGCUCGGAAUUACUGGGCGUAAAGGGAGCGUAGGCGGACAUUUAAGUCAGGGGUGAAAUCCCGGGGCUCAACCUCGGAAUUGCCUUUGAUACUGGGUGUCUUGAGUGUGAGAGAGGUAUGUGGAACUCCGAGUGUAGAGGUGAAAUUCGUAGAUAUUCGGAAGAACACCAGUGGCGAAGGCGACAUACUGGCUCAUUACUGACGCUGAGGCUCGAAAGCGUGGGGAGCAAACAGGAUUAGAUACCCUGGUAGUCCACGCCGUAAACGAUGAUUUGCUAGUUGUCGGGAUGCAUGCAUUUCGGUGACGCAGCUAACGCAUUAAGCAAUCCGCCUGGGGAGUACGGUCGCAAGAUU
Molecule: ribosomal RNA, 523 nt
Filed under: uncultured bacterium
Lineage: Bacteria
Description: partial 16S ribosomal RNA
Rfam family: Bacterial small subunit ribosomal RNA
Source: RNAcentral